GUAGGGAAUAUUGCACAAUGGAGGAAACUCUGAUGCAGCGAUGCCGCGUGAGUGAAGAAGGCCCUUGGGUUGUAAAGCUCUUUCGUCGGGGAAGAAAAUGACUGUACCCGAAUAAGAAGGUCCGGCUAACUUCGUGCCAGCAGCCGCGGUAAUACGAAGGGACCUAGCGUAGUUCGGAAUUACUGGGCUUAAAGAGUUCGUAGGUGGUUAAAAAAGUUGGUGGUGAAAUCCCAGAGCUUAACUCUGGAACUGCCAUCAAAACUUUUUAGCUAGAGUAUGAUAGAGGAAAGCAGAAUUUCUAGUGUAGAGGUGAAAUUCGUAGAUAUUAGAAAGAAUACCAAUUGCGAAGGCAGCUUUCUGGAUCAUUACUGACGCUGAGGAACGAAAGCAUGGGUAGCGAAGAGG
RNAcentral lists this ribosomal RNA (405 nucleotides) under uncultured bacterium. RNAcentral describes it as "bacterial SSU rRNA". It matches the Rfam family "Bacterial small subunit ribosomal RNA", at positions 354 to 776 of the family's 1533-position model. The record is from RNAcentral.